UACGUAGGGUCCGAGCGUUGUCCGGAAUUACUGGGCGUAAAGAGCUCGUAGGUGGUUUGUCGCGUUGUUCGUGAAAACUCACAGCUCAACUGUGGGCGUGCGGGCGAUACGGGCAGACUUGAGUAUUGUAGGGGAGACUGGAAUUCCUGGUGUAGCGGUGGAAUGCGCAGAUAUCAGGAGGAACACCGGUGGCGAAGGCGGGUCUCUGGGCAGUAACUGACGCUGAGGAGCGAAAGCGUGGGGAGCGAACAGG
This 253-nucleotide ribosomal RNA is filed under the name uncultured bacterium. RNAcentral's name for it is "partial 16S ribosomal RNA". It matches the Rfam family "Bacterial small subunit ribosomal RNA", at positions 524 to 776 of the family's 1533-position model. The record is from RNAcentral.